Molecule: unclassified non-coding RNA, 315 nt
Filed under: fungal sp.
Lineage: Eukaryota; Fungi
Description: partial internal transcribed spacer region
Rfam family: Eukaryotic small subunit ribosomal RNA (bases 1-46)
Source: RNAcentral
AAGUCGUAACAAGGUUUCCGUAGGUGAACCUGCGGAAGGAUCAUUAACAUUAUUCUCUUUUACUUUAUUGGGUUUUGUGUUUGUGUGUGGUUUGUUUUUAUUAACAAAUUGCACCUUUCACAACUCUCAUUCAACCCCAAAUGUGCAUUGUGUUGUGCUUUUUGAGUCAAAUCAAAAGUACUUCUUUUUCUAAUCUAUUCUAACUAAACCCCUUUUAUUACUUCUAGACUGACUUUAAACAACUUGAUUCGUACACUUCAUACUGUACGAUGACCAAUCAUAAUACAACUCUUAGCAACGGAUAUCUAGGCUCUC